This is a long non-coding RNA of Austrofundulus limnaeus, 1156 nucleotides long. RefSeq lists it as uncharacterized. Lineage: Eukaryota; Metazoa; Chordata; Actinopteri; Cyprinodontiformes; Rivulidae. The transcript has 6 exons. The record is from RefSeq and is a predicted model, not a curated record.
GUCUAAUUAUGUGGCCUCCACAAGGCACCGGAACAACGUGUGAAGCAAUCAGGAUGACGAUCAGCACCUUCAGGGAAGAGGGUGGGCUACUUCAUCCUCCCCCAUAGUCUGCUUACUUGGCUGUUUCAGGAGACCCAUGGAGAAGUGGCCAAAGGGCUGUGUGACACAAAUAGUCUGAUGUGCCAAGCUGACAAACAAAUGAUCCACAGCCGACGGUGUAAUUGAAAACUCAGAGAGGAGGUGAACAAUUAAUCUCUCUAUCUCUCACCUUUCAAAUUUCCACCCAGAAACUCUUGAAAAUGCUGAUUAUAGAUUAGAGUGUUAUUGAUUAGAUGGGCUGGAAGGAGAGGCAAAGAGGUGCAGAAGUUCCCCAUCACUAAUCUUUCUAGCUGUGACUGCAUCUAAAUAACCUGCAGAGAGGGAUAAACAGGCGCAUCCAUCAUGGGACAGCUUCUGCAGACAGAGAUGGAUGUCUCCACCUUCUGCCACCCUCCGCCGCACCUCUCCCUCCUGGUCAGGAAUAAGAAGUGACACCGAGUCUCCGGAGGAAUACCGAGCUGUAACUGUGCGGCAAAAUUCCUUCUUUUGCUCUGAUUUGCUGGAAAGACGGUGCAAGUGUGAGCUUUUCAAAACGGUCCCAUCCUCCAUCCACUUGUCUGUUUGAAUCUGUAGGAUUAUCCAUCUUGAUAGGUCCUGUUUGUUUUGUCACAGAAGGAAAUUGUUUUUGUGAUUGUGUGUGUGCACAAGUGUGUGAACUUACCCAUUUAKACUUUUGUGUUUGUGCAUAAAUUGAUUUUAGUGUGACUUUUAUUUCUCUCUCUCUCUUUGCUCCUGCACAUGAGCCAAAUCCCCUGUGCAGCCUGAACCCAGUGAGCAGGYGUGCCCAUGCCAGCUCCCUCCUGAGGUGCCAGUCUGACAGAGAUGUGCAUCCAUAACAGUGAGCUGGUCUGCACCGGGCUGUGUGGGGGGCGAGUCCAGCUCCUCACUUUGCCAACACAGCCGACCGGAUCUGAACAGACCAGACGGGACUGGAUGGUGGCAGACUGGCCAAACAGAACUUGGCAGUCGGAGGCAGAUUUCUGUGGGAGAGGAGAACACCGCGAGCAGCUUGUUUAGAAGAGAAGGGGCUGGGUCCUCAUGAGUGCGCAUUUGUCGG